ACUUGUUUGGUUCAUAGAAUGGAAAGGCGCAGGAAUGGAAUAGCUAUUCUUCACUUAUAUUUUGAAUUUAUAUCAUACUCAUUUAAAAAAUAUUUAUUAUGUAUAAUAAUAUUGCACAUUUUAAAAUUUAAUAUAAAAUUGUUAUUCCAUGAUAUGGUUUUCCACAUUUAAAUUUUUAACCAAAUCUAGGAAUAGCUAUUCAAGAUGGGAUAGCUAUUCUAUUUCCAUCCUAUUCCAUGUUAUUCUGUAAGCCAAACAAAGCCUAGACUCCAUAGCCACAAAAUAGUUAUUUCAAUAAAAAAUAAAUGAGAUUCUAUAAUAGCUAUUCUAUGAAAUAAUAUUUCUCCAUUAAAUUAUAAACCAAAGAGAGGAAUUGAUAUUCUGUUCCCAUUCUAUUUUAUCCUCUAAACUAAAUGAAGCUUUAGUAUCAACAGAGAGCAGCUAAGGACAUGCCACACCUAAAAGUCUAAUUAUUGGUGGAACCUAAAGCUGAUGCAUGUUCAUCACUAUCCAAAUGAAAUAAAAAAUCUGAAGUCUAAACUUCUCUAGGAGUAUUAAGAUGGAUCCGUAAGAUGAAGUAUCUUUAACUAAAUGUCUUACCAAAUAGAGAGGCCCUUUACAAUAUGCAUCCAUAAUGACCUUGAGAUAUGGAUAGCUUGAGGUAAAUUUGUUGGCAGCUUCAAGAGCUGUAGAAACAUUUGAACUUGAAGGCCUUCCAGCUUGCUUACCAACACUAUUUUCACUCCUCGAUUCGUUGGACUUUCCUGUAUUAUAUCCAUUUAAAAGCAAACUAAUCUCAUAUUUAUGAACUAAUCAUGUAGGGAACAAAGUUCUCAAGCAUCAAAUAGAUUCUAGAGUAGCAUAAGGACAUUCUGUUUUAAUUGUUAAGCAAUCCUGCUUGCAUUUAAUUUUAUCAUCUAAUUAAGAAUAAGCACAUCUAUUAAAACAGGAUUAAAAAAAACAAAACAAAAGAUUUCUUUUGGUCAAUAAGCUAAAUAAGGAAAAAAUAAAAAAAUAAAAAACCUCUGAAUUCUUGAAUGGAGCAAUCUGAAUCCUCAAUCUGUAUGGAUGUGGAUUGGUUGCUUGUGGACCCAUUAUUUAGUGCUUUACUCUUUAAAUCCACUUCAUUUUCUUGCUUCUUGGUAUCUCUCCCUGAAUGGAUAUCCCUGCCAGGACACUCAAUCUCUACAGCACAAUCUGAAUCCUCAAUCUGUAUAGGCGUGGAUUGGUUGCCUUUCGACCCAUAGUUUUGUGCUUUACUCUUUAAAUCCCCCACGUUUUCUUGCUUCUUGGUCUCUUUCCCUGAAUGGAUAUCCCUGCCUGGAUACUCAAUCUCUACAGCACUCAUGUCAAAUAUAAGCACACUGAAAUUGCAUUCUCCUUCAUAUUUAAACAGUAACAAAUGCCCAUGCUUCAGGGAGUGAUACUCUGAAAAUGCUUGCCAACCCUUUUCAAGCCAAACAUCAUCCCCAUUCUUUAACAACUCUACUUGCCACGUGUUGCCAGUAGGAAUCUUAAGGAUAAUUGGACUUGAUAAACAAUUCCCAUAUUUCUUCACAAACUUUAUCGGAAUCCGAAGUCUUCCCGCAAGAGCAGUACUUUGAAGAAUUAUCUUGAAAAACUGGGGUAUUUUUGCUGUGAGAUUAAAAUUAUCAUCCCUUCCUUUCAGUUGCAGACCUUGAGAACUCAUUGUUGAAUAGAUUCAAUACUGCUACCAUACUAAACAAGCAUGUAGCAAGAAAAUUAAACUUGGCUCUUGGCACUGGAUUCUGGAGGCAGCCGCCGCAUGCAUAUACAUCUUCCUACUCCGUGCAUAUCACCUAGACUUGACGAAGACCACUCCGAUCCAGUCCUAUUGGAGAGCAAAUGAUAACGGAAUACUCUUAUUCAUACCAUUUAAGAUUGGGUCAAUCUCAAAGAAUAGGUCGGUGAGCCAAAAACUCAAAAUCCUCCUCCUCUUUUCUUGAAUAAAGAGAAA
This 1978-nucleotide unclassified non-coding RNA is filed under the name Hevea brasiliensis (rubber tree). The record is from RNAcentral. Lineage: Eukaryota; Viridiplantae; Streptophyta; Magnoliopsida; Malpighiales; Euphorbiaceae.